ACCGGGCGCCCCAUCCUCGCGGCCCCACUUUGGGUUUUCCCGGCUCCCUCUCCCAGGGCGAGUUCAACGUGCCCUCUGCCUGUGAAGGGGCUCCUGGCCAACCCGUGUCUGUCAACGACGGAGAAACGUUCACUAAGGUAUAGAAUAGGGCUGGGAUGAAUUAAGAUGCAGCUAUUAGGAGUGGGUACACACAAGAUACAAGAGCAGGAGGGAAAUACCUGCCACAAGGCCAAUGAAUGUCCUGGAGAACAAAGGUCGCCUCCAGCCGGUGGCGGCCCCAUUGCUAGAAACUGCCUGGGUGGAUAUUCCAAAAUAUUCAGCACUAGCAUCUCUAGGUCUCAUCAGUGCAGAUGCUGAUGCCUCAGAGCAGGGACCCAGGGCUGCAGAGCAAGGGGGGAGCCAGUGACCCAGUGUACCUGCACAGGCUCCUGCUCUUUGGUGACAUCGACCCUGAGAGGCUGAGGCCACCAGCUGGGAUCCUGGCCACCAUUAACCAAGGGAAGGAGCAGCAGCACGGAGAGGACACGCAGGAGUGGGAAAGUGACCCCUCCCUCCCACACAGGCCCUUGGGGAAGUCCAACUGUCCUCAUCUGGACUCGGCUUCCUUCCAACACUACCAGAGAAAAGCCCCGCUGUUCACUGCUUUCUUACAACUUCAGGAAAUAAAAAAUCAGAAGAAGACAGAAAAGUCCAUUUUAAUUAAACUGUACAGUCUGAAUUUUUUCCUCUGACACUAACUGAAGUUAAAAAUAGAAAUCAAUCUUUUCAACCUUCCAAGGCAGCUUUGAGAUAAGGUUUAAAAACUAUUUUACAGCUGAUUUACAUCUAAAUACAAUCUGUACAAUGUUGACUGAGCGACCCACAAGCGGCCACCAUGGAGGGGGUGUGGUGCUGGCGCAGGCCAGGGUGGGGGGCUUCGAUCACUGCCUCCUUAGUGGAAGACGUUUCAGCCUGGAAAAGGAAAUCAGACAGAGGGGGAAAGUUAGCUACGAACCGAACAAGCAGACAGCCCCAGGGGGGCGAGUGUGCCAGGCGCCCUCCCCCGAGUCACAGGGGCAUGUCUGUACCCAUAAAAUACAGAGGAUGACCAUACACCAUGGAAGCGUCGUCUAAUCUGCAUUCCUACAGUGCUGCUUCUGUUAUACAGAGAGACUCACUCACCCCAUCUCAUGUUAGGACCCGCUUAUCAAAAGAAGUUCUAACCCUGGUUUCACUCACCUAUCUCACAUAUGAUGAUCAGGAAAGAACUAAAGAAAACAUGUUUGCUCCAAGGCCAAACGCUGCCAGGCUGUCAGCCUUAAAUCUCAGCUUCACGCACACGGGGACAUUCACGGCAGCUCUACUUAUCGAGCAGAGCUGGGUCACACUGGCUCUGGAAUCCUUGCUCUACAGCCCCAAAGUGGAAAACCAAACAUCCCAACCACAGACUAGAUGAACACUCUGCAGUGUAUCCACAUAAAGGAGUGCUCCGCGGCCAGGACGCACCUCUUGCUGCUCUACGAGAAGACGGGGACUCUCAUGAGCCAGAUGCCAAGGAGUUCAUACUCCGUGGCUCCUUCCAGUAAAGUUCAAACGCUGGCAAGAGGAAUCCAUGGUGACAGAAGCCAGAAGAGUGGCUGCCUUUGGGGAUGGGAGCAGGGAUGCUCACGCCAGGUGCUGGGGACACACAGUGAACACGCAGACCUGACCUCCAACCCCACGGACAUCUGAGCUGGGAAGCCAGUCACACAAGGGCACCUGCAGCCAAGUGCACCAGUGGCUGUAACACAGGGGUGUGUACAGCAUACACUCUGGAUCCCCUGAGACCUGAGGGUUGAAAGAUGUCCUCAACGAAGGGCCAUGUGAGAAGAAUAAAAACUUACAAACAAACAGGGAUAUACGACUAUGUCCCAGCUCAAAAAGCUGAAUUUCAAUCAAAUUAUCAAAGAGGAGAAAAACCGAAAAUAAACAAGUUAUCAUGGUCACAUUAAUAAUCUUGUUUAAAGAGAUUACUACAUUUUCAGACAGAAGAGAUAAAAAUGGGAAAAGUGUGGAAAAAUACGUAUCAAAGUGUUAAUGGUGGUUAUCUGCGGGAAGUAGGAUUUCAAGGUAUUUAAGCUUUUUACAUUUCUAUAUUUUUAAACUUUAAAACUCAAGUAUAUAUGACUUUAUAAUAAAAAAUAAGUUGCUUUUUUUCCCACAGAAAUAAGAAAUAGGCUGACAUUUGCAAUCACCUAAGAACAAACAAUAUUUUAUACCUCCAUGUAACUUUUUGCUUAAAAGGCCCUCAAAAAUUAUACCCAAGUCCACCACAGACUGACAGGGGCAGGCGGAAUACGCUAAGACUGAGAUGGGAAAUUUUGUCCACCCAUCUAAGCAUCUGAAAAGUCUCCCACUCUUGCAAGCGCCAGAUGGCCUUCUUUCCUGCACCAAAACUCCUGGCUGCUGUAAACGGAACAAGCAGGACAGGCUACUAACCAAGCGUUAACCCACAGUAGAUGGCUACUAACCAUCUCCCAAGUGCUACUAGGCGCCAGGCAGCACUCAUCUGAUGGCCGAGCCGGAGCAUCCACUCUGCCCAAGAGAGGCAGGCAGGGCGGGCCCAGGGUGUGUCAUGACCUAACCUUCUCCGCAAUCCUAGCAUCUCAGUGACCAAGCUAAAACAAAAAGCUGUCUUUCAAAUGAGGGCUUUACUAUGCUUUAAUUCUUCUCAACUAGAAUAAGUAAGAAAAUGAGAAUUAUCAAACACAGCUAUCCAAAAAAUAUACUAGAGAUUUAUACCAGAAAUGAAAAACAGAACUCAGCUCCACCUCAAAUUAAAAAUAUAAGAUGAAAAAACAUCAAUUGCUAAUUACCCUGGUUUAAAAUUGCACGGUAAACAAAGAAGCAGCUUCUCUAGAGACACCAUCAUUUUCUUCUUUGGAU
This is a long non-coding RNA of Equus caballus (horse), 2904 nucleotides long. RefSeq lists it as uncharacterized. Lineage: Eukaryota; Metazoa; Chordata; Mammalia; Perissodactyla; Equidae. The record is from RefSeq and is a predicted model, not a curated record.